Molecule: unclassified non-coding RNA, 208 nt
Filed under: Hevea brasiliensis (rubber tree)
Lineage: Eukaryota; Viridiplantae; Streptophyta; Magnoliopsida; Malpighiales; Euphorbiaceae
Source: RNAcentral
UCUUGUUGGAGUGCCCAAAACCUGCAAUAAAUGAAGCGCUUACUUAUAAAAGUAAUGUUAACCAAACCUGGAAGAGUUUCCAUUUUGCACCAUACUCGCAACUAACAAAUUACACUAACCAAAGGUGGAUUUAAUGUAAAACAAAUGUCACUUGAUAAUUAAAAAAAUUAAAAGAUGCAAAAUUACCUUGAUAAUCUCAACAAGCUGG